UGGCUCAGAUGGUAAAGCAUCUGCCUACGAUGCAGGAGACCCGGGUUCGAUUCCUGG
Molecule: transfer RNA, 57 nt
Filed under: Bos taurus (domestic cattle)
Lineage: Eukaryota; Metazoa; Chordata; Mammalia; Artiodactyla; Bovidae
Also listed under: 5 other names
Rfam family: tRNA
About the family: Transfer RNA (tRNA) molecules are approximately 80 nucleotides in length.
Source: Rfam by way of RNAcentral